UGAUUAUAAAGUGUUUGCGUAUCACAACAAUAAACUCUGUAAGUUUAAAAAUGUGCCUUGCCAUAUUGUGUUGGUUAGGUAAACAUAGCGGUUUUACUAAAAAUGCAGAUAUUUGGAAAGCUCAGAAGCCAAUCAAUUUGUUACAAUUUUUUUCAAAACAAUUUAAUAUGUGCUUCAGAUGACACUGUAUUGUUAAAUCUUUCAGUUGGCAAUGCACGUAAGGCACUACUCUAAAGUAUUCACAAGAAGAAAAAAAUGGGGCCCUCCAUUUGAAAAGAUGCAGUUCCGGGUAUUUGAAGUUUCCCAAACGUAACCUUAAUUUUGGAGAACACAGAAUUAUUUGAAGAAUUAUCGUAUUCAAACGCAAUAUGCAAUGUUAAUUGUACAAGGUUGUAUACAUACAAUACUUUAAACCAAACAAUACCAAAUACUCCAUUGUUAUAUUCUCACGAAAAUGAAACCCUCAAGCUUUGUAACAAAAGCACUUCUAGUAUUGACUCUUACUGUCUACUACAACUUUACAAAAUAAGAAAAGAAUCUAAUAUAUCACUCGUGAUAUAUCCACUAGGAAUUUGGAACUCAUUAGUGUUUAGUGAAAAAUUACAUUCAUUUUUAGUAACAGAAAAACGUCUAAACUUUCAUAAAUUUCAACUGAAGCUAGGCAAACAAAAUGCCACACAAGGAAGCAUUAUGGAUAAUGUCAUCGAAGAUAAUACAAGCGAUAAGCAAUUGAAUGAAAUUUCCUCUUAUUUUCAGCAUUUCUUCAAUUCUAAUAUUGAUAUUUUGUAUUUUGAAAAGUUAGGACGCAAAGAGAAUGGGAAGGAAUGGACGGAUCUGCUUGGAGCUGUUGUUAACGAAGAAGUAGACUUGGGUUUGGAUACAAUUAUCAAGACUGAAGAAAGAUAUUACGAUAUGGCAUUUACUCACAACAUACUGACAUCAAUGCGCAAUAUCUACAUAAAACAUCAACCAUCUAACGAACUUAGAGACAUUUAUUUGAUACCUUUCGGAACAAAACUAAUUCUCUUUGUGAUGAUCACCGGAUUUGUUUUAUGUCUUUUAAUGACUCUCAUAAACAAAGUAACAAAUAAAAUUACAAAAAAUGAAAAAAACACUAAAGAUAAUUCAUUCGGUGAAGCAACCAUUUGGUGUAUUGGUAUUUUCACGAUGCAAGGAAGUUUAUGGUCACCUAUAACAUAUUCAGGAAAUAUAAUUUUAAUAACUUCACUUGCAUUUGCUUUGGUUAUUUUUAAUUCAUAUUCGGCUUUUAUAACAUCUAUACUUUCAGUUGAGUUGUCUAGUAUUCGAUCAGUUGAAGAUCUUCUUGAAAGUAACUACAAUAUUGGAUACGUCAAGAAUAGUCAAGAUGAAGUGUACUUGAGAUCGAUGAAUGAUUCACAAUUGCAACAAAUUUAUCUAAGAGGUUAUUUAUACAAUACUGUGGGAAAUGUGACUGAAGGGCUUUAUAAAAGUUACAAGGGUCAUUACGGAUUUUUUGCUUCCACUAAUAUUGCUAGAAAAGAAUUGCAACGGAUAAAUCAUUACAAAUGUAAUUAUGAAAUAAUGGAAAUACCAAUAAUGAAAACAAAGAAUACUAUUGCAUUUCCCUUGGCGAAAAAUUCGCAUUACAAGAAAGUUAUUGAUUUAAGUAUUAUGAAAAUGUAUGAAACUGGAAUUUAUAAAUAUUUUUACUCCAUGGUUGUCCCAUCUUACUCAAAAUGUGAUCAAAGAAGAAUUUUUCGAAGUGCACAUUUGCCCGACUUAUCUUCUGCGUUUGGAAUCUUAAUAAUUGGUGUUAAACUCUCGCUUAUUAUAAUUAUAGCUGAGUGUUUAUGGAAGAGGAAAAGUGUAAUAUAUUUGAAAAUAAAGAAAAAUUGUUUGAAGAAAAAUUUAUAUCAUCGUGGACAGCAGAGUGAUGAAGGGGUUUUAAGUCAAAAGCUGGAGCAAAUUUAAAAUAAUACAUGAUUUAAUAGUCGAUUAUUUGACAAGUAAAGAAAAGAGGUGGUUUACUAUCGAGUGAAAACAGAUUGAUUUAUGAACGUUAGAAAAAUAAAACUCCCAUGGAAUCGUACAUCAAUCUUUUCCUCAAGACAGAAUUAACAAUAAUACCACGCCUUUUAGACAAAUAUAUCGGAAAUUAUUACAAUAACACAUUAUGUAAUGGUAC
This is an RNA transcript of Tribolium madens (black flour beetle), 2167 nucleotides long. RefSeq lists it as uncharacterized. NCBI's taxonomy places the organism in Eukaryota, Metazoa, Arthropoda, Insecta, Coleoptera, Tenebrionidae. The record is from RefSeq and is a predicted model, not a curated record. The transcript is spliced from 8 exons.